Long non-coding RNA from Rosa chinensis, 954 nucleotides. RefSeq lists it as uncharacterized. Lineage: Eukaryota; Viridiplantae; Streptophyta; Magnoliopsida; Rosales; Rosaceae. The record is from RefSeq and is a predicted model, not a curated record. The transcript is spliced from 4 exons.
CAUGGCUUGUGGAUGUCCCAAAGAGGGUGUUAAUUAUGCUUGGUGAUGUAGAGAACGAGCUUGCUAGUGUAGGUAUAAACACAUGGUGUUGCCCAUGCUUGAAAUGAAGACCCAACCAGGAAGCUGCUACAUGGUCGAGGCCUCCAAAGGAUAGGAGGGAUUCGACAGAUAUUGAAAUAUAUGGGAUGCAAGGAAUCCCACCUGAUGUCUUGGCUGCACAUUAUGGAGAGGAAGAAUACGACGCCCCGUCAAAAAUGGCUAAAUGGAAAUCCCAUCAACUCAGCUUUUUGGUGGUGUGGUGCCAGGUUCACUGGGGAUAUAUCCUCCCUAACCACGUUUUGAAAUGCGGCCAAUAUACAAUUCAUCGGUCCCAAUGCCUCAUAACAGUUGGCAAGUUGCACCCCGUCCCCAGCCUUGGUAUCCACAGCCUCCGGCAGUCUCUGGUCCUCCGCCUUCCGGAUUGGGUUAUUCACAACAGCCAUUGUUUCCUGUGCAGCCACCUCUACCAUCAACCCCCUGGACUUCAAUCUUCACAGUAACUCCUCCUGAACUGCUGCAUUACUUAAUUGAUGUAAUGAUUUCUACAAAAACAUUUCCAAUUGUUAUUCUGUAAAUGAAAUUAAUCAUAAUGAGGGUAAUAUGAGUAUGACAUUUGAGCAAAAAGAAAUUUUUUUUUUAUUUGAACAUACCUCAUUUACGGCGCGCAGUGUGCACCUUAACUAGGAGUUUAGCCACUCUUUUACGGCAUGCUGUGUAUGCCUUUAAUAUGAGGUCUUUUACGGCGUGCAAUGUGGGCCGUAAAUGACCAAAAUGACAUUUGUGGAACCACUUUUAUGGCGUGUUAAUUGUUCUUUUAUGACGCAUUUUUGCACGCCGUAAAAGACAUAUGUCUUUUACGGCGCGAGCUUUUACAGCGUGUUUUUGUGCGCCGUAAAUAGGCUUUUACGGCGCACA